GUCUAUGGCCAUGCCACCCUGAACAAGCCCAAUGUCUGAUCUCGGAAGCUAAGCAGGAUUGGGCCUGGUUAAGACUUGGAUGGGAGACCACCUAGGAAGACCAGGUGCUGUAGGCA
Molecule: ribosomal RNA, 116 nt
Filed under: Pteropus alecto (black flying fox)
Lineage: Eukaryota; Metazoa; Chordata; Mammalia; Chiroptera; Pteropodidae
Source: RNAcentral